This 1487-nucleotide ribosomal RNA is filed under the name Triticum aestivum (bread wheat). RNAcentral describes it as "partial small subunit ribosomal RNA". Lineage: Eukaryota; Viridiplantae; Streptophyta; Magnoliopsida; Poales; Poaceae. The record is from RNAcentral.
CGUGCUUCCAGUGGGUCGUGGAACCCUAGACCCCUUUCCCCAAUCCCACGGCCGCCUCCAUCCUCCCGUGCUCCACCCCGAGCGUGCCCGGGCUCCGCCUCCUCCUCCUCAGCCGCCUCCUCUUCUCCCACAGCCCCCCACCAUUCCUCCCUUCUGCCCCCUCCUCCUUCUUGGAUCCCCACCACGGUGCCGACCUGCAGGCAAAGGACAACAGCGGCAGCGCUCUCCUCAUGCCCUCCACUCCCUCGACAACGGUGGCGGCGGCGCCCUCUGGUGGCGGAGGAGGGGGAGAUGGUGGAGCGGCAGCGACCUUCCCCUCACGCAUCCCAUCCCCCCUCGUCAUCCCGGAUCCCACCGGACCCGAGGCGUGAGGGUGCGGCAGCGACCUGCAAGGGAAGGGCGACGCUCGAAUCGAUCCAGCGCCAUGGAUCGGUCCCUGCGGAAGAAAGAGAAGAUGAGGGAGAGAGAAGUAAGGAGAGGAAGGAGAAAGAGAGAGGAAAGAGGAGAGGGAGGUGCAGCGUUGACCGAUGGCUCGCGCCAUGGUGCGGCAGACGGCCAUUUCGAUGAGAUCCACCACCUCUCGAGGUUCUCAUCUGCCCCAGGUUGCGACGAAGCCGCGGGAGGUGGAGAGAACUCGAUGCGAGGAAGGUACGGAGGAGGAUCUCAACCAGCGUGUCUUCAGCCGGAGGAGGGAAGCAGCGGAUGCGAGCUAGGAGGCGGAUCGGCUCGGCCCAGCCAUGGAGCUGCCGCUGCGGACUCCCCGCCGGCCUCCUUCGUCGUCAUGUGGAUUUGCAUGGCAAGUGAUGUUGCAUUGCCAAUGACACAUCUGGAAUUGUCGUUCGUGACUCCUUGGUUGGGUGCUGCCAUAAAACCUGUAACAGCAGCAAGAUGCAGUUCUCCGCAAAUCACUUUUAGAUCUGAGAAAGAAGAUGAACAAGAGAAUCCAAUAGAAGAAUUUGGUGAAGAACAAGAACUUUCUGAAUCCGACGCUGUCAAUCGGGCCACAGAGAGGAAGUGUGGUGGAGAUGAGAUGGGGACAGAGGAUCCUGCAGCGAUGUUGUUUCUUUGUUCUCCUGCUCAAGGUUUGCUAUCAAGAUCUCAAAAAGGAAAAACAACUUUACUCUGUUUUCUGGAGAACCUUCCCAUAGAGUCACUACCUCAACAGAGACAAAUAUGCGAUCAAGGAUAUAUUCGAUGGAUUUUCAAGCAAAACUUGGAGGCUAUUUUUCCAGAUAGUUUGGUGCUCUCAUGGUUAUUUUGUAGAGAUUGUUCCUCUGUUCAUUUCUUGGUAACCGUCUACUGCAGCUCAGCUACUGUCCAGCAGCUGACCUUAUGGAUUUGUUGGAAGCCACACAGGGCACCCGAGAAGGAGAGGAGAAUGCUCUGAAGAGAGGAAAUGAUAAGUUUCAUUGUUUUGUUUUAAGAGCAAGGGAGUUGAUAUGUAGUCCCCUAGCUUAUUUGUAUUCUACUAUGUGUAUGGCCAAAGA